CAAGAAUUAGUUUAAAAAAUAUUAAUUUUGGAGAUUAAAGUUAAAGAAGUUCUUUAUUCUUGA
Molecule: transfer RNA, 63 nt
Filed under: Phaedon armoraciae
Lineage: Eukaryota; Metazoa; Arthropoda; Insecta; Coleoptera; Chrysomelidae
Also listed under: 1 other name
Description: tRNA-Pro
Source: RNAcentral